GCCUUUCAAACCACAAACUAAUACAUAAAGGCUUCUGAAAGUUGUCACUCCGAUUUCCUCAGAUCUUGAAAAAAUACUUUUUUUUUUUUUUUUUUUUUUUUUCCCAGUUCUUAAUUAUUUUUAAUUAUUUUUAAUGGUGGUGAAAUCUAGUCAUGAGACAUACCUAAGACUAGUCUGCAAAGGUUUCUUCUCCACCAGGCACUUGUAAGUGUGAAUGGGUUGCUGAGGAGCAAAUCAAAGGAAGGUUGUGUCCCUGCUCUUCAAUAGCUUCUCCAGGGCUGUGUAAAAUCUUACUACCAUGGUCUCCAGGUACAGCUACCAACCAGGAGAGUAUGUCACUGCCACCAGAGCUGGGCCAUUCUCAAGCAGUUGACAGGCUGAGAAUUGCUUAUCGAAGUUUCUGAAUGAAUGAAUCAUGAAGCUAAUUAAUAUAGAAUUUGCAUGAAAUAAAGCAGCAAAUGACAGUCA
Molecule: long non-coding RNA, 468 nt
Filed under: Phasianus colchicus (ring-necked pheasant)
Lineage: Eukaryota; Metazoa; Chordata; Aves; Galliformes; Phasianidae
Description: lncRNA (ENSPCLG00000007814.1)
Source: RNAcentral